This is a long non-coding RNA of Lepisosteus oculatus (spotted gar), 223 nucleotides long. RefSeq lists it as uncharacterized. Lineage: Eukaryota; Metazoa; Chordata; Actinopteri; Semionotiformes; Lepisosteidae. The record is from RefSeq and is a predicted model, not a curated record.
CUAGGACAAAUAAGGUAUGAUUGCUACAACAUCGUGAAUGGCUAUUUGUAUUCACACAACAGGAUCCUACCACCGACUACCAUAUGAAAUUGUAUCCACCAUCUCCCUUCUUAUCAGCUGCAAGGAACUCCACUAGGAAGCAAACCGGCUCAUCGUUGAACAUCCCCAGCAGGUUAGUGGAGUGAGCAUGGGCACCAGAAUGGGACCUAGCUAUGCCAAUAUC